UGCCGGCAGGCCUAACACAUGCAAGUCGAGCGGAUGAGAGGAGCUUGCUCCUUGAUUUAGCGGCGGACGGGUGAGUAAUGCCUAGGAAUCUGCCUGGUGGUGGGGGAUAACGUUCCGAAAGGAACGCUAAUACCGCAUACGUCCUACGGGAGAAAGCGGGGGAUCUUCGGACCUCGCGCCAUUAGAUGAGCCUAGGUCGGAUUAGCUAGUUGGUGAGGUAAUGGCUCACCAAGGCGACGAUCCGUAACUGGUCUGAGAGGAUGAUCAGUCACACUGGAACUGAGACACGGUCCAGACUCCUACGGGAGGCAGCAGUGGGGAAUAUUGGACAAUGGGCGAAAGCCUGAUCCAGCCAUGCCGCGUGUGUGAAGAAGGUCUUCGGAUUGUAAAGCACUUUAAGUUGGGAGGAAGGGCAUUCACCUAAUACGUUAGUGUUUUGACGUUACCGACAGAAUAAGCACCGGCUAACUUCGUGCCAGCAGCCGCGGUAAUACGAAGGGUGCAAGCGUUAAUCGGAAUUACUGGGCGUAAAGCGCGCGUAGGUGGUUCGUUAAGUUGGAUGUGAAAGCCCCGGGCUCAACCUGGGAACUGCAUC
RNAcentral lists this ribosomal RNA (595 nucleotides) under Pseudomonas sp. EP_S_51. Its description in RNAcentral is "bacterial SSU rRNA". It matches the Rfam family "Bacterial small subunit ribosomal RNA", at positions 37 to 627 of the family's 1533-position model. Lineage: Bacteria; Pseudomonadati; Pseudomonadota; Gammaproteobacteria; Pseudomonadales; Pseudomonadaceae. The record is from RNAcentral.